Molecule: unclassified non-coding RNA, 350 nt
Filed under: soil metagenome
Description: partial contains 5.8S ribosomal RNA, internal transcribed spacer 2, and large subunit ribosomal RNA
Rfam family: 5.8S ribosomal RNA (bases 1-120)
Source: RNAcentral
GAUGAAGAACGUAGCGAACUGCGAUAAGUAAUGUGAAUUGCAGAAUUCAGCGAAUCAUCGAGUCUUUGAACGCACAUUGCGCCCCCUGGCAUUCCGGGGGGCAUGCCUGUCCGAGCGUCAUUGCUGCCCUUCAAGCCCGGCUUGUGUGUUGGGUCGUCGUCCCCCCCGGGGGACGGGCCCGAAAGGCAGCGGCGGCACCGCGUCCGGUCCUCGAGCGUAUGGGGCUUUGUCACCCGCUCGAUUAGGGCCGGCCGGGCGCCAGCCGGCGUCUCCAACCUUCUAUUUUACCAGGUUGACCUCGGAUCAGGUAGGGAUACCCGCUGAACUUAAGCAUAUCAAUAAGCGGAGGA